This 492-nucleotide ribosomal RNA is filed under the name uncultured bacterium. RNAcentral's name for it is "partial 16S ribosomal RNA". It matches the Rfam family "Bacterial small subunit ribosomal RNA", at positions 29 to 507 of the family's 1533-position model. The record is from RNAcentral.
AGUGAACGCUGGCGGUAGGCCUAACACAUGCAAGUCGAACGGCAGCACAGUAAGAGCUUGCUCUUACGGGUGGCGAGUGGCGGACGGGUGAGGAAUACAUCGGAAUCUACUUUUUCGUGGGGGAUAACGUAGGGAAACUUACGCUAAUACCGCAUACGACCUACGGGUGAAAGCAGGGGAUCUUCGGACCUUGCGCGAUUGAAUGAGCCGAUGUCGGAUUAGCUAGUUGGCGGGGUAAAGGCCCACCAAGGCGACGAUCCGUAGCUGGUCUGAGAGGAUGAUCAGCCAAACUGGAACUGAGAAACGGUCAGGACUCCUACGGGAGGCAGAAGUGGGGAAUAUUGGAAAAUGGGCGAAAGCCUGAUCCAGACAUACCGCGUGGGUGAAGAAGGCCUUCGGGUUGUAAAGCCCUUUUGUUGGGAAAGAAAAGCGGGAGGUUAAUAACCCGAUGUUCUGACGGUACCCAAAGAAAAAGCACCGGCUAACUUCGUG